This 301-nucleotide ribosomal RNA is filed under the name uncultured bacterium. RNAcentral describes it as "partial 16S ribosomal RNA". It matches the Rfam family "Bacterial small subunit ribosomal RNA", at positions 509 to 807 of the family's 1533-position model. The record is from RNAcentral.
CAGUCGCCACGGGAAUACGAAGGGGGCUAGCGUUGCUCGGAAUUACUGGGCGUAAAGGGAGCGUAGGCGGACAUUUAAGUCAGGGGUGAAAUCCCAGAGCUCAACUCUGGAACUGCCUUUGAUACUGGGUGUCUUGAGUGUGAUAGAGGUAUGUGGAACUCCGAGUGUAGAGGUGAAAUUCGUAGAUAUUCGGAAGAACACCAGUGGCGAAGGCGACAUACUGGAUCAUUACUGACGCUGAGGCUCGAAAGCGUGGGGAGCAAACAGGAUUAGAUACCCGAGUAGUCCCUGUCUCUUAUAC